Molecule: long non-coding RNA, 528 nt
Filed under: Coffea arabica (coffee)
Lineage: Eukaryota; Viridiplantae; Streptophyta; Magnoliopsida; Gentianales; Rubiaceae
Description: long non-coding RNA (CARA_LNC000182)
Source: RNAcentral
UCAGAAAUCAAAUAUAUUUCACAAUAAUGCAUUUCGAUCAUUUCGAUGAUGUCAUGAUUCAGAGAUCAAAUGUACGUUUAUUGCUCUCAUGAACCGGUGAAAUCAUUGCACUUGAACACCCAACGCUCAAAUAGAUCAUUUAACAUUAACAUUGAGAGGGAGCCCCUUUUUGAGCUCCAGAUAAACAUGAACAUGAACCAUAAACAAGGUGGAGACGUUGGUGUCCAGCACUAGACUUUCCCAGAACUCAUUGAUGCCAAAUCAUGUCAUGAAUCCACAUGCAGGCACGCAUGAUAUGCAAUCGAAUAAAUAAUGCAAGAAGCAUUUCGCAAGUACUUUGGAAAUAGUUUAGGGUCACUCACCUCCAUGGCUCAGAAAUCAUCCAUCAAAUAUCAUUGCCUUGCUCAAAUCCAAGUCUUAAAUCACAAACUCAAUGCAAACAAGUCCUUUAAAAGUUCGGACAGCAUUUCCCCUAAAUUUGCUAACUUUUCCAGCCAUCAUGGCUUCAUUAUUUCCUCAGCCAGUCCC